AUACCUGUGAGAAGUUGAGAUCCUGCGCAUUGGAAACAAGGAAACAACUUGUGCCUGAUCUUCAAA
RNAcentral lists this non-coding RNA (66 nucleotides) under Prochlorococcus marinus str. NATL1A. Its description in RNAcentral is "Cyano-1 RNA". It matches the Rfam family "Cyano-1 RNA". Lineage: Bacteria; Bacillati; Cyanobacteriota; Cyanophyceae; Synechococcales; Prochlorococcaceae. The record is from Rfam by way of RNAcentral.